GUUCCCUUCAUCCCAUCGCUCCAGGCGGAGGAGCUCGUCAGGGCCAGGGCGGAGGAGGCGUCGUCGAUCGUCAAGGCGGGGUGCGGCUCCAAGAGGAAGGCGGAGGAGGACUGCCGCGAGGUCACCGUCAAGGCCAUGGCGGCGGCGGAGGAGGAGGAGGCGCCGGUCACCGUCAAGGCCAAGGAGGCGGUGCAGGUCAAGUUGGUGCUGACCAAGCCGACGUGGUCCGAUGUGGAGUACUCGGACUGCCACUCGGACGAAGAGGUCGACUCGGACGACGAAGAUGCCGAGACGUUCCUGGCCAGGAUCAGGUCUGAGUACAACGCCCACGCCGAGAAGCUCAUGGCUGACAAUCCCUGGUUGAAGUUGAGGGACUACUCGGCCCACCCCAGGCAGGAAGAGGAGGCUGGCGCCGUGGUUGAUGGGCUUGUUUCCGUGUCAGAUUGUAAUUUGACGACUGGGAUGGUUCACCAUCCCUAA
Molecule: ribosomal RNA, 480 nt
Filed under: Triticum aestivum (bread wheat)
Lineage: Eukaryota; Viridiplantae; Streptophyta; Magnoliopsida; Poales; Poaceae
Description: partial small subunit ribosomal RNA
Source: RNAcentral